UGCUGUGGAUUAGUGUUGCUUCUUUGGUUG
RNAcentral lists this non-coding RNA (30 nucleotides) under Mus musculus (house mouse). The record is from RNAcentral. Lineage: Eukaryota; Metazoa; Chordata; Mammalia; Rodentia; Muridae.